GUAGGUACCGAGCGUUAUCCGGAUUCACUGGGCGUAAAGCGCGUGCAGGUGGUUUGGUAAGUCGGGCAUGAAAACUCUUGGCUCAACUGAGAGACGCUGUCCGAUACUGCCGGACUUGAGGGUGUAAGAGGGAGGUGGAAUUCCGCAUGUAGUGGUGAAAUGCGUAGAUAUGCGGAGGAACACCAGUGGCGAAGGCGGCCUCCUGGUACACUCCUGACACUCAGACGCGAAAGCUAGGGGAGCGAACGGGAUUAGAAACCCCGGUAGUCCUAGCCGUAAACGAUGAUUACUAGGUGUUAGUGGUAUCAAGCCCACUAGUGCCGAAGCUAACGCGAUAAGUAAUCCGCCUGGGGACUACGAUCGCAAGAUUA
This 371-nucleotide ribosomal RNA is filed under the name uncultured bacterium. Its description in RNAcentral is "bacterial SSU rRNA". It matches the Rfam family "Bacterial small subunit ribosomal RNA", at positions 527 to 896 of the family's 1533-position model. The record is from RNAcentral.